CUUUUGUUGAACCACCGACCCAAACGGAGCAAACGCUUCAUCGGUCAAGGCUUGAGCAUAUAUUUUUUUAGCUUCCAUGUUUGUUAUAAAAUUUUUUAAAAGUUGAAACGUAAAUUCUUGAACGAUUACAAUAACCACUUUUAACUAGUCGUUUUGCAAAUGCACUGUAAAAUCACUAUUAUCUUUUGAAGUUGUCGAUGCUUAGU
Molecule: non-coding RNA, 206 nt
Organism: Schizosaccharomyces pombe (fission yeast)
Lineage: Eukaryota; Fungi; Ascomycota; Schizosaccharomycetes; Schizosaccharomycetales; Schizosaccharomycetaceae
Source: the annotation of a GenBank genome assembly